AUCGAAAGAAGAGGUUGCUUCAAACAUUAGUAGGUGAUUAAGACGAAAAGCGUCGAAGAUGUCAUGCGAAAGGGUGCGAAGCCGAAACUAGCAUGCGCUUUUUCAAUUGUUGGUUGGGGCACAUUUUAACAGAGUGUGAACUGUCGUAACCAGAUACGGUUGCGGAGCGCUAUCUACGAU
RNAcentral lists this non-coding RNA (180 nucleotides) under Pediococcus claussenii. RNAcentral describes it as "Lysine sequence". It matches the Rfam family "Lysine riboswitch aptamer". Rfam says of the family: Riboswitches are metabolite binding domains within certain messenger RNAs that serve as precision sensors for their corresponding targets. Allosteric rearrangement of mRNA structure is mediated by ligand binding, and this results in modulation of gene expression. Lineage: Bacteria; Bacillati; Bacillota; Bacilli; Lactobacillales; Lactobacillaceae. RNAcentral also lists the same sequence under 1 other name. The record is from RNAcentral.